GCGGUUCUGCCCUUCUCGUGACUGGUUACGUUCCAGUGGCCUUAAGCAAAUCCGAGGGAGCUGGCUCUGUUCAAGCCCUGGUUUGAUUACCUGGCGCCCACCUGUAAAUACAGGUCCUCGGGAAUAUAGAACUAAAACGGUUCGGUGGUUCCGUC
Molecule: non-coding RNA, 155 nt
Filed under: Sulfitobacter sp. JL08
Lineage: Bacteria; Pseudomonadati; Pseudomonadota; Alphaproteobacteria; Rhodobacterales; Roseobacteraceae
Description: 6S / SsrS RNA
Rfam family: 6S / SsrS RNA
About the family: E. coli 6S RNA was the first non coding RNA to be sequenced, but its function was unknown until recently.
Source: Rfam by way of RNAcentral